RNAcentral lists this ribosomal RNA (714 nucleotides) under uncultured bacterium. Its description in RNAcentral is "bacterial SSU rRNA". It matches the Rfam family "Bacterial small subunit ribosomal RNA", at positions 67 to 771 of the family's 1533-position model. The record is from RNAcentral.
GGGUACAUGAGGAAAGCUUGCUUUCCUUGAUGACGACUGGCGCACGGGUGAGUAACGCGUAUCCAACCUUCCCAUAACUACGGGAUAACCCGUUGAAAGACGGCCUAAUACCGUAUGACAUCGUUUGCUGACAUCAAAUAACGAUUAAAGGUUUAGCGGUUAUGGAUGGGGAUGCGUCUGAUUAGCUUGUUGGCGGGGUAACGGCCCACCAAGGCUACGAUCAGUAGGGGUUCUGAGAGGAAGGUCCCCCACAUUGGAACUGAGACACGGUCCAAACUCCUACGGGAGGCAGCAGUGAGGAAUAUUGGUCAAUGGGCGAGAGCCUGAACCAGCCAAGUAGCGUGCAGGAUGACGGCCCUAUGGGUUGUAAACUGCUUUUAUGUGGGGAUAAAGUGCGUGACGUGUCAUGCAUUGCAGGUACCACAUGAAUAAGGACCGGCUAAUUCCGUGCCAGCAGCCGCGGUAAUACGGGAGGUCCGGGCGUUAUCCGGAUUUAUUGGGUUUAAAGGGAGCGUAGGCUGUCUAUUAAGCGUGUUGUGAAAUUUACCGGCUCAACCGGUGGCUUGCAGCGCGAACUGGUCGACUUGAGUAUGCAGGAAGUAGGCGGAAUUCAUGGUGUAGCGGUGAAAUGCUUAGAUAUCAUGACGAACUCCGAUUGCGCAGGCAGCUUACUGUAGCAUAACUGACGCUGAUGCUCGNAAGUGCGGGUAUCAA